Lates calcarifer (barramundi perch) is the source of this 742-nucleotide long non-coding RNA. RefSeq lists it as uncharacterized. The transcript is spliced from 4 exons. The record is from RefSeq and is a predicted model, not a curated record. Lineage: Eukaryota; Metazoa; Chordata; Actinopteri; Centropomidae.
AAUAGUAACGGCCGUGGAGCGAGGAGGAGGGAGAAGAAGGGGUGGUAACCGUUGUCAGCUAUGGAGGCAGAGAGUCUUGAGGUUGGCCUUGAAGUCCACAGACUCUUUGACCUUCGAGCCCAGCAGAGCUCCCAGCAUGGCGUCAGCAGACACCCUCACCCUCCUCAGUCUUGAGGUUGGCCUUGAAGUCCACAGACUCUUUAACCUUAGAGCCCAGCAGAGCUCCCAGCAUGGCAUCAGCUGAGAUCUUCACCCUCUUGAGAGCAGGUCGCUUCAUCUUACCCUUCAGCUCAAAGAUUUUCAGAGACAGAUUUUCAAUCUGCAGGACAUAAUUAUAAAUAAAACCUGUGGAGGUGAGCAGUCUCUGUCUUUCAAUGACAAGAAGAAAACUCAAGUCAACUUUAAUGACUCCUAUUGCCUUCUGUGAGUGGCCAACUAAAAUAGCCUCCUCUGUCCUGUCAGCUAGUAUACUGUAUAUCACUCACUUCUACAUGGCAUCCCCCAGCACCAGGUUUACCACUACAGCUCAACCCAAAGAUUACAGAAUGCCUUGAUUCUAGUUAUUAACAUCUGUUUUGUCUGUGAAUUUAUUACCUUUAUUGCUAUUAAAACAUGUAAAGCAGGAAUGAAAAUUAAAUCUGAGCAAACCAAAGAAACCAUACAAGCAAGUGAUGUUGGUUGUUUAAUUAGCAUCACAUGUAUUACAGAUAGUGGGACAGUGCCAUCUUCUGUUUAAUGUAAA